GGUCCUGUGGUCUAGGGGUUAUGACGUCGGAUUUUGAAGACCCCAGCAGCUCAAAAACUACUGGGAUAGACACGAAUUUCCGUAGAUCGUGGGUUCGAUUCCCACCAGGACCU
Non-coding RNA from Paecilomyces variotii, 113 nucleotides. Lineage: Eukaryota; Fungi; Ascomycota; Eurotiomycetes; Eurotiales; Thermoascaceae. The record is from the annotation of a RefSeq genome assembly.